RNAcentral lists this ribosomal RNA (253 nucleotides) under uncultured bacterium. RNAcentral describes it as "partial 16S ribosomal RNA". It matches the Rfam family "Bacterial small subunit ribosomal RNA", at positions 524 to 776 of the family's 1533-position model. The record is from RNAcentral.
UACGGGGGGGGCAAGCGUUGUUCGGAAUUACUGGGCGUAAAGGGCUCGUAGGUGGCCAACUAAGUCAGACGUGAAAUCCCUCGGCUUAACCGGGGAACUGCGUCUGAUACUGGAUGGCUUGAGUUUGGGAGAGGGAUGCGGAAUUCCAGGUGUAGCGGUGAAAUGCGUAGAUAUCUGGAGGAACACCGGUGGCGAAGGCGGCAUCCUGGUCCGUGACUGACGCUGAGGCGCGAAAGCGUGGGGAGCAAACAGG